UCAGAUUGAACGCUGGCGGCAGGCUUAACACAUGCAAGUCGAGCGGAGAUGAGGUGCUUGCACCUUAUCUUAGCGGCGGACGGGUGAGUAAUGCUUAGGAAUCUGCCUAUUAGUGGGGGACAACAUUCCGAAAGGAAUGCUAAUACCGCAUACGUCCUACGGGAGAAAGCAGGGGAUCUUCGGACCUUGCGCUAAUAGAUGAGCCUAAGUCGGAUUAGCUAGUUGGUGGGGUAAAGGCCUACCAAGGCGACGAUCUGUAGCGGGUCUGAGAGGAUGAUCCGCCACACUGGGACUGAGACACGGCCCAGACUCCUACGGGAGGCAGCAGUGGGGAAUAUUGGACAAUGGGGGGAACCCUGAUCCAGCCAUGCCGCGUGUGUGAAGAAGGCCUUAUGGUUGUAAAGCACUUUAAGCGAGGAGGAGGCUACUGAGACUAAUACUCUUGGAUAGUGGACGUUACUCGCAGAAUAAGCACCGGCUAACUCUGUGCCAGCAGCCGCGGUAAUACAGAGGGUGCGAGCGUUAAUCGGAUUUACUGGGCGUAAAGCGUGCGUAGGCGGCUUUUUAAGUCGGAUGUGAAAUCCCCGAGCUUAACUUGGGAAUUGCAUUCGAUACUGGGAAGCUAGAGUAUGGGAGAGGAUGGUAGAAUUCCAGGUGUAGCGGUGAAAUGCGUAGAGAUCUGGAGGAAUACCGAUGGCGAAGGCAGCCAUCUGGCCUAAUAYUGACGCUGAGGUACGAAAGCAUGGGGAGCAAACAGGAUUAGAUACCCYGGUAGU
This 776-nucleotide ribosomal RNA is filed under the name uncultured bacterium. RNAcentral describes it as "bacterial SSU rRNA". It matches the Rfam family "Bacterial small subunit ribosomal RNA", at positions 24 to 794 of the family's 1533-position model. The record is from RNAcentral.